UACGUAGGUUGCGAGCGUUAUUCGGAUUUACUGGGCGUAAAGAGCACCGAGGUGGCUUCUUAAGUUGGAUGUCAAAUCUCCUGGCUUAACUGGGAGGCGCCAUUCAAAACUGAGGAGCUUGAGGUCAGCAGGGGAAGGUGGAAUUCCCGGUGUAGUGGUGGAAUGCGUAGAGAUCGGGAGGAACACCAGUGGCGAAAGCGACCUUCUGGGCUGCACCUGACACUCUAGUGCGAAAGCGUGGGGAGCAAACAGG
This 253-nucleotide ribosomal RNA is filed under the name uncultured bacterium. Its description in RNAcentral is "partial 16S ribosomal RNA". It matches the Rfam family "Bacterial small subunit ribosomal RNA", at positions 524 to 776 of the family's 1533-position model. The record is from RNAcentral.